UCUCUGGAAGACUAGUGGUUAGGCCACAGCGCGCUCACCGCUGCGGCGCGGGUUCGAUUCCCAGCCAGCGUG
Molecule: non-coding RNA, 72 nt
Organism: Pangasianodon gigas (Mekong giant catfish)
Lineage: Eukaryota; Metazoa; Chordata; Actinopteri; Siluriformes; Pangasiidae
Source: the annotation of a GenBank genome assembly